GACGAACGCUGGCGGCGUGCUUAACACAUGCAAGUCGAACGGAAAGGCCUCUUUCGGGGGGUACUCGAGUGGCGAACGGGUGAGUAACACGUGAGUAACCUGCCCUUGACUUUGGGAUAACUUCAGGAAACUGGGGCUAAUACCGGAUAGGAGCUCCUGCUGCAUGGUGGGGGUUGGAAAGUUUCGGCGGUUGGGGAUGGACUCGCGGCUUAUCAGCUUGUUGGUGGGGUAGUGGCUUACCAAGGCUUUGACGGGUAGCCGGCCUGAGAGGGUGACCGGCCACAUUGGGACUGAGAUACGGCACAGACUCCUACGGGAGGCAGCAGUGGGGAAUAUUGAACAAGGGGUGGAAGCCUGAUGCAGCAACGCCGUGUGCGGGAUGACGGCCUUCGGGUUGUAAACCGCUUUCGCUCAUGACGAAGCUUUGUGUGACGGUAGUGGGUAAAGAAGCACCGGCUAACUACGUG
Molecule: ribosomal RNA, 467 nt
Filed under: uncultured bacterium
Lineage: Bacteria
Description: partial 16S ribosomal RNA
Rfam family: Bacterial small subunit ribosomal RNA
Source: RNAcentral